Molecule: ribosomal RNA, 497 nt
Filed under: uncultured bacterium
Lineage: Bacteria
Description: partial 16S ribosomal RNA
Rfam family: Bacterial small subunit ribosomal RNA
Source: RNAcentral
GUUGAACGCUGGCGGCGUGCCUAACACAUGCAAGUCGAGCGAACAGAUGAGGAGUUUGCUCCUCUUACGCGAGCGGCGGAUGGGUGAGGAAUACGAGGAUAACCUACCUUUAAGACUGAGAUAACUUCGGGAAACCUGAUCCAGCACCGGACAAUAUAUUGAACCGCAUGGUUCAAUAGAGAACGCCCUUUCAGAUGUCCCUAGGACGUGUAUCCUGGCCGCAUUAGCUAGUUGGUAGGGUAACGGCUUACCAAGGCAACGAUGCGUAGCCGACCUGAGAGGAUGAUCAGCCACACUGGAACUGAGACACGGUCCAGACUCCUACGGGAGGCAGCAGUGGGGAAUCUUCCGCAAUGGGCGAAAGCCUGACGGAGCCACGCCGCGUGUGUGAUGAAGGUCUUCGGAUCGUAAAGCUCUUUUAUUUGGGAAGAACAAAUGUGUAUGUAACUCUGCCCGUCUUGACGGUACCUACAGAAAAAGCCACGGCUAACUUCGUG